Non-coding RNA from Lonchura striata (white-rumped munia), 7437 nucleotides. NCBI's taxonomy places the organism in Eukaryota, Metazoa, Chordata, Aves, Passeriformes, Estrildidae. The record is from RefSeq and is a predicted model, not a curated record.
CGGCUGCGCAAUGGCCGCCGAGCAGAGCCGAGGGCUGGCGCAGAGCCCGGCGCGGCUCGGUGGUGGGAGCCGGAGCCUUCGCUCCGCACCUCCGCUGCUGGGGCAGCCGAGCAGAGCUCCCGAGAGCCGGAGGGUUUGCGCUGGAGCCGAGCGAGCCGCGGCCUGCGGCAGCCCCGCGGCCGCGCUGAGCGCCGAGCAGGCUGGCAGCGCUGUGCCCGGCCAUGGCAGCACCACACGCGGCCGCUGCCCCGGGUUCGCGUGCUCCGCAAAGCCAGGUCCUGCACAUCUCCCUCAACGCUCCCACUAAAUUCCGAGGGCAUUUUCACGUGUGAGACUUAACUCGCCUGCAAAAGUAUUCCCAGAACUAGGCCUCGCUUAAGCUGUCCAUGGCAGCUUAAGUGCCUUCUCAUCUAGAAACCAGUUGUGACCCACACAUUGCAUCCCAAACUGCUGCAGCACCACACCACCUACUCUGUGACCGCAGAGCGUCCCAGCAGAGCCCUGAGACAAGUUUCCCUCUUCUGUGUUGCUUUUCUCACCGCCUAUUAUAAUAACAAGUUACAACAUCGCCAGUGCACAGAGGUCUAAAUCAGGAAGAACCUACAUGAACCACAGGCAGCCUCUCUGCCUCUGCUCUGAAUCAGGUGUAUUGCACCACUGGCAUACAGGAAAGUGAACUGAUAAUGAAAACACACAACAUGUUUUCUGACUUUGUGCCAAGCACAAAGUUUGUCAAAUGUCACUCAGUGUCAUUCCAUGCCACAGACAUCCCUGGAAGAGAGGUGACUCUCUAAUGUGAAUUAAGUCUCCUAAACGUUAAACUUAAGACUGUUUGUUGGUUUUUGUUGGUUUGCUUUUGUCAAAGGAGGGGGGGAUGGAACCAAACAAAAACUAGAUUCGGGAGAAAUUAUGUAAACUCGGGUAGUAAAUAAGCCAAUUUUUUGAAAGAAGCAUAAAUAUAAAAGCCAAAUGAUACAAAUUGCUGAUGCUUUAAACAUUGACAUAGGAAAAACCAUUAAAAGCUAUGAAGCUAUUAAAAGCUAUGAAGAUGAAAAAAUCCAACUUCUGCUUUGUGCCAAAGACUGCAAUGUGUCACACAUUACAGAGGGUAACCUGGAGUCUUCCCUUACACAGAUAAGGUAGUUCCAGCUACUCUGUGUAACAGGCAAGGAUUCACAUUUUGUGAUUAUCAGCAUGGGCUUUGCCCUCCUGUACUUGUCUUGGUUAGAGAUAUAGAGACUGGAUUUCACCUACAACUCCCUCAUGCCAAACCUGUUUAUCUAAGUAAGAAUAAUUACUCUGGUAACAAAAUAAGCAUUAACUGAAGAAGGUAAAUGUGGAGAAACAUAAACAAGAAAUUAAGUACUUAAAUUCUGUGGUGCUGAAUGACUUUGACCACGGGUCUUGAUAUUAAGGCUCAAAUACUAAGCCUGGUAUUAAACUCAGAUUGAAGGCAAUGAGAGUUUUAUAAGAGCAUGCCUGAUCUGAAAUCCUACUUGAAUUAAAAAAAUGGAUUGGCUUAUUGUACACUCUGCUUCCACUGAGAGAUCUCUGAGCAUUGGAUCCACCUGCAGUGCUGGGAUAUCCUGGCUCUCCCCCACUCCUGUCAUUACAGGGGCACUACUCAUCCAGAGAGGAAGAUGUCCUAAAUCCCAAGACGAUUGGCACAGCACACACAAGAGGAAAUCUCAGCGCACAGCCAAUGCCAGGCAAUGAAGGAUCCUCUGUGGGAGUUGGUUAGUAGUGCCAAUGUUUGAUAUUUGUCGUAACAACCACCGACUGUUUUGUUUUUUGUUCUAACAAUGUGAAUUAUUCAUUAAACAUUAAUACAAGUGAGUGUACUUUCUUUUGAUCUUCAAGCAUAAUCAUUUCUAAUGAGAGCUUAUACAUGAGCAUUGAAACAAAUCCCUGAGUCAUGUGAAUUUACAUUGGUUUUACUCUGUGGGAAAGAUCCCACAUGAGUUACUCAUGUCUGUAAAACAUAACAUACUUAGAAGAAAAAAAUGAGCUUGCAUUUGUCUGUUGGAACAUAAAUAUCUGCGUAGACAUUUGGCUUGUGCUCUAGCAGUAAUGAAACAUUAAAAAGUUAAUUUAUCAGAGAUCAGGAUUCAGGGUGGGGCCCUCAACUAAUGUGAGAUCCAAGUUUGCUCAGAAUAAGCUCACCUCUUAGUCUCUCCCAUCUGGCUUCUUAGAAGAGUUGAGCCUAGUAUCAGAGGAAUUUGAACUAGCUCUAAGUAAAGGGAUGAGAAUUUGGCUUGCUUGAUAGAGAUAAAAGUUGCCAAACUGCCAUCACCAAGCUAUAAUAUGCCAAUCCAUGGCAGGCAAACUGUGCAGUGCUAAGUGGCACCUCUCCAAAUGCCCUUGACAGCCAGUGCAGGCCAGACCCACUGUAGAACCUGCUUGGCCAUGUUUAAUAUCUGCACUUCUUAAAACAACAGUCACAAAUGGUGCAUUCCAUAAAAACAUAAACACUAUGGAUUGUGCAACUGCCAAGACAGUUAUUUAAAAUGCAAACAGAAUUUAAGCCCUUUCCCCUUUGACACACUGCACAAAUAUUAAAGCAACAAGUGAUUAACAGUCUGCACUUCAGCAGCCGUGCUGCAUGUGCAAGGGACAGGCAGCACACUGGGGAAAGUACGGGAUGGGCCCCAUUCCUGGGGCUGCAGGUCCUCCCUACAAGAUUUCCAGAAUGCCUCUUGCCUUUCCAAACAGACCUCAAUGCCAAAGGUUGCAGAAGGUGGCUGUCAAGAAGGUAUUAUGUUUAAUGGCAGAUAGGCUCUAUCUAUGAUUAAGGUCAUAUCUCAGGAAUUCUCAAAAACCCAUUAAUGUAUUUUAUUCUUAAUGUGCAAGUGCUAAAGGAGUCCUGGAAGCCAGAAAUCCAGGAUUACCCCACAUAAUUCAAUGUUUUCACAGGAGGCUACAGUCAUGCUCUCUGCUGCUUCCCUUCUCUUGCCUGAAUAACCUUAAAUGCUGAUGGUACAUCUUCAAAAGGAGAGUGGAAGCAGCCUAUGCAUAGAAUAGUUUAUAGACUGGAAGAAGAGCAAACAAAACCCUUCAUCCCUGAACUUGAAUUCUGCAAGUGCUCUGUUUUAUAUAAUGACAGAGGGACUAUUGCAGUAGUGAAGAAAGCAACUCAGACACUCCAUUAUGGAACCCCAACACUCUUUGUAUUAAUUAUUUUCCCUGAGGUUGCACAACUUCACCUGGCAUGUAAAGUUAAAAGAUAAAUAGGUCAAUAUUGGGUCUUCAAUAAUUUUGGAUAGAAGGACCUCAGCUCCAUCUAGACCCUGCUUGAAGCCCAUUGACAUUAUCCAGCUUAAAAAGUUUGGUGAGUCUCCUGACUUUGCAGAAUGUGUCAGUACAUCCCCAGGCACACACAAAGAGCUGUGUUUGCAAAGAUGGGACAGAUACAAGUAGAAAAUGGUACACACAAGCAUUUAGGGAGACCUCUCUAAGCAUCAGCCAGGGUGACAAAGUGUGCUGGCCCAUGGGUUCCCAGGCUGUAUUCACAGCUCUGGAAUGCCUGCUGGAAACACUCCCCUGUAAUUUAGCUCAUUUAGUGUGCAUUAAGGAUGCUCAUUUCUAGACCCCUAAGUGAAAUGUGAUACUGAACUCAUUCUUCCCUCUUACACCAGCAGGCCUCAGCAGAUGGCCAAGAGGCUGAUGGGAAGGAGAGAACACCAGUUUUAAUCCAGUUGUUCAUAAUGGAAAAUGAUGAGAAAAGUGAAAAGAUCUUAUUCUGCAGACCAAGGCAUUUUCUUACAUUUAACUGCCUAACCUCAGGCAGAACCCUGAAUUCCAUUACUCUAUGUGAAUGUUAUGGUAUGGUGAAGUCUAAUUUGGUAAUUACCUGGUCAGAGCCACAGACUAGAAACAAGAUAUGCAGCCAGUGAAAGCCCAGUGGAGUCAUACCAGUUUAUAUUAGCUGAGAACCCAAUCACCAAUUUCAAAUUAAAAAAUUGAGAAGUUGCAUUUUUCCAUGGCAUUUUGGUCACAUUAUAUAGAAGAAAAGAAUAAGAAAAUAAAAAAUAAAGUUGUAGCUAUUUAUAUAACCAAGACAGAAGCAGAACCAAUGUGAAAUCUUUAGCAAUGGAAUUCUACAUCCAAAUUAUUAGGUAUUUCAGUGUUGGUGCCAUUUGGAUUACUGCUUAACUUUAGGGCAGCGAGGUAAGCUCAUUUUCUUGCCUCUGUCUUUUCAGCCACCAUUAGGGCUGCAACCUUCCCAUCCUCCAGGGAGAGGGAGAGAAGUUACACAAUAGGUGUUUUUUCUAUGGGCGGAUGUUUAAAUGUGGAGGGAAACAAUUGAAUUUUAAUGACAAUUUUGAGACUCUUGAAGUUAAUUUCUGGGCAGUGCAGAAAUUAAUGGGGCUUGCUGCUGCCAAGAGCUCCAUGUUCUCCUCUCCUCCUGAUGUUAGCAGGAUUACAGGUCUCAGCUUCUGGCAGAAAUAACUCCCAAAAUAGUAGGGUCCUUCUCUCUUGCCUUCUCUCAAAAGGGAGAGCAAGAGACCUGCUGCUGUCAGACCCAACCAAGAGUCACAGCAGAGCAGUGGCUACAAAAACAGGGUAACUGCACCAGAUUUACACUACCAGAAAUGUGUAGUGUAUUAUCAUUAGGUAUUUACAGCAUAGUAGCAUUAUCCAGGGUGGAAUGGUAAAUUUGUUAGGUGCUGCACAAAACAUUUAACCGGAAAAAGCUCCCGCAUCCAAAAGCACAACAAAAAUGAUUUGAGGAAGGAGAGUGGCAAACAAUGGGAUAUCCUGGGAAAAAAAGUACACCAGUGAUUACAGCAAAGGCAGCAAGCUAUGAAGGCUUUUCCUACAUGCAGGGUAGCAAUAAUUCUGCCAAGAAGGCAAGUUAUUUCCUUUUUAGCUAUGCUAUUUCCACUGCAUUACUGAAUCAUGGUUUGUUAAUGGCUUACAAACAUUAAGUUUAAAAAGCUUUAGGAAUUUUGUCAUACCUAAGACAACACAUACCAAUUUAUCAAUUUCUAUAAAAAUGCAUAAUCCAAUAGGUUUUGGGGUUGUGGUUGUCAGUGUGGGGGUUUUUAAUGCCUUUAAUAAAGAAGGGGUAAUUUUGGUCUUGUUUCAUUUUAGAAAAUUCAGAAAGGAAUAUAACGGGUAGUCCCAGAAUCUGUAUGUAUCUAAUUGUAGAUAGCUAAAUAGAAAAUAAAAGAUGCUUCAAAAUAGUGACAGUUAUUUAAUCUGUUCUGUAGUUGGAUGUUAGAGUGUCAAGAAUUUUCACCAAAAGCAGGAGACCCACUACAGAGGACUGUCUUUUCAAUUUUGGGCUAUGCAAUUAUAGCCCCAAACAGGUCAUGGAAAGGAUCAGCCUUCCCCAUGUUACCCCUCUGGUCAGAUGGCAGCUCCAGCCAAAAAAAGAAAAAGAAGAAAAGAGGACAGCCAUAGCCACCUGGCACUGCCUUUUUGCACAGCAAAAAGCAGACAGGGGAGAAGGGACCUGGUACCCAGCCAGGUGUGGCAGGACUUACAAGCCAGGCUGCCAAGCUGGAGCUCAUCCUCUGAAUGGGAUUCUGCAGGGGAGGGCACAGAGAAGGUAACAUUGGGGAACUGCUUCCCUUGCAAAAAUCUGUGUCCCCAUUUACCCUCUCCCAUGAGAGGGCCAAACAUGCUUCUUAUUGGGCAGAAAAUGUUCAACCUGGUAUGGAGUAUGUUACUGUGUCCACCAGCACGUUUCACGAUGUACAUAAAACAUCAUUCAGUUACAGGAGAAUUAGAAGAAGCAUUAGGGAGACUGACACUACUGACUGAUACCAAACCACUUUUUCCUAACACUUUUUAAAAUAUACUGUACCCAGAGUUUAGCUGUGUCCAUUAUUUCCUUUAACUCACUCAUUUCUGCAAAGGUGAUUUUACUUAGAUCAAAUUUUUGCACUGUACUACUGGAUACUAUGGUACAUUCACUGCUCUAGAACAACUUCACUCAUUUAGAAACCCCACCAUAAUGUUUUGCCAUUGGAUUUCUGCUGAGAAGUAGAGGCACUAGCUCACAAACACCCCUUCCAAGUCCUUACUGAGCCUUCCCAAGAGCCUGUGUUACACUUACCAGGCUUGCACACACAGCUAAAUCCAUGUGCCCCUGCUCUGAACCCCUGGGACAUGGGUGCUCAGUUAAGACUACAGAGAAAGGAAAAGCAGGGCCACAGUCAAUUAUUUUAAUGGCUGUUAAUGUAAAAACAUAUUCCUAACAUUCCUAACCUUACUACAGCCAAAUAUAUGGUAGGAGACCUGGUUUUGCAUGAACCAAUUUCUUUUUUCUUUCUAACUCUUUUGUAUGAGUGAUGAUUUUUGAGAGAUUGGUGUAGUAAUGUUCAGUUGUUAUGCUGCUUCACAUUUCUACCUGUGCAGAUGGGAUAUCACAUUUCUGUCUAAGUUACCAAGACCAUUCAGAGUUAACAUCCACAAACAGUUUCCUCUAUUCCAGCAUUAGUUGCCACUUCUUGGGACAAUUCUUUAGGUAAAAGUCCAAUAGAAAUGGCCCUUCACUAAUUUCCACUGCAGCUCAGGUUUUCUGCCUCAGCUUUUAUGCUGCUGUGAGCACGUACAAAAUGGGAUGCUAGUUUUUGUCCCUCUGCCCUCAGUCCAAGUAGUGCUAUGAAAGAAUAAUUCUGUCUGAUUUCACAUAAUUCUGCUCUUGCAGUUAGAAAUACAGGAAUUAAUAGUCAAGAAGUUCUUUGGGUACUGGAAAGAUUAACAAGUCUUUUAAUCUUGAUACAGGUGACCACAAGGUACAAGCAUUAUAGGCAUUUGAUGAAUGAAGGGUUGCCACUAAAUGAAAGCCACUAUCACAAAGCUCUAGAGGAAAUCGUUGCAACAAGGUUUUAGGAGUUUGUGAAGGCACCGUGAAAUGAGCACACUUUAUGAGGCUACAGCGUGUGUGUAGAAGGUAUAUGCAACCUGCUCUGUAUUCCUAAAAUGAUCACCAACAUAUCAUUGGGAACUUGGCCUUCUGAGAGUUAUUUCUCUCUCUGUGCCUCAGUUCCCUCAUAUGAAAGUCAGGAUUAUGUCUUUGGUGCUUCUUGGAUGAACAGAACAAGUUCACCUUUUAAAUGUCAAGUGUUACAAUCAAUCACAGGUUUACCACAUCUUUUCUACCUAACCAUUUAAGACUAUUAAUAUCAAAAUAAGCCACUCAAAAAUUAGUAAAGAUUGAAGAAGUCCCAGACUGUGGAACGUGAAUCUCAGUGAUUUCAAUGGAUAUGAUGCCAGCCUCAGAGAGGAGAUUAGCUCCAAUGUGAUUGGAAAGAUCCCAUAACUCCAGUGACAAAUAAUUUGUUCUGCAUUUUCUGUUAGUUCAGGAAAGAUCUAUGCCAGUCCCAAUACAGUCCCUCAGCUAUUGUUUUCCUCCACUUUGAAUAUUUCCCGAUGAAUUCUGUUUGCUACCUAACAAACUAUCAAAAAAUAAAACUUCAGACCCCA